AUUGAACGCUGGCGGCAGGCCUAACACAUGCAAGUCGAGCGGAUGAAGGGAGCUUGCUCCUGGAUUCAGCGGCGGACGGGUGAGUAAUGCCUAGGAAUCUGCCUGGCAGUGGGGGAUAACGUCCGGAAACGGGCGCUAAUACCGCAUACGUCCUGAGGGAGAAAGUGGGGGAUCUUCGGACCUCACGCUAUCAGAUGAGCCUAGGUCGGAUUAGCUAGUUGGUGGGGUAAAGGCCUACCAAGGCGACGAUCCGUAACUGGUCUGAGAGGAUGAUCAGUCACACUGGAACUGAGACACGGUCCAGACUCCUACGGGAGGCAGCAGUGGGGAAUAUUGGACAAUGGGCGAAAGCCUGAUCCAGCCAUGCCGCGUGUGUGAAGAAGGUCUUCGGAUUGUAAAGCACUUUAAGUUGGGGGGAAGGGCAGUAAGUUGAUACCUUGCUGUUUUGACGUUACCAACAGAAUAAGCACCGGCUAACUUCGUG
RNAcentral lists this ribosomal RNA (484 nucleotides) under uncultured bacterium. RNAcentral's name for it is "partial 16S ribosomal RNA". It matches the Rfam family "Bacterial small subunit ribosomal RNA", at positions 30 to 507 of the family's 1533-position model. The record is from RNAcentral.